AUGAUCAGGAAGUUUUGGUGGGGGGAGGAAGAGGGACACAGAAAGGCACAUUGGAUAUCUUGGGAUAGGUUGAUAAAACCGAAAAGAGCAGGAGGUAUCGGCUUCAGAGAUAUGCACUUGUUCAACCAAGCACUUUUGGCAAAACAAGGCUGGCGGCUGAUUCAAAACCCAGAAAGUUUGUGUGCGAGAGUCCUUAAAUCCAAAUACUAUCCUCAUGGUGAUCUCUUGGACACAGUGUUCGCAACUGAUGCUUCCCCUGUUUGGAGAGCGAUAGAGUUUGGGCUAGAGCUCUUGAAAAAUGGUCUAAUAUGGAGGGUGGGAGAUGGAAAGAACAUCCAAAUCCAACGUGACCACUGGAUUCCGAGACGGGAGGGCCUCAAGACGGCCGCCUUCAUGAGGAGGUCUCGGAUUCGUUGGGUCAGCCAGCUAAUGCAUCCCGACAAGAAGGAGUGGAACGAGGAACUAAUAAGACAAGUUUUCUACCCCUUGAUGCAGACGAGAUUUGCAAGAUCCGCAUCCCAGCGUCGGCCGUGGGGGACCGGGUUGCGUGGCACCAUGAGAAGAAUGGAGAAUUCUCGGUGA
This 582-nucleotide ribosomal RNA is filed under the name Triticum aestivum (bread wheat). RNAcentral describes it as "partial small subunit ribosomal RNA". The record is from RNAcentral. Lineage: Eukaryota; Viridiplantae; Streptophyta; Magnoliopsida; Poales; Poaceae.